RNAcentral lists this ribosomal RNA (254 nucleotides) under uncultured bacterium. RNAcentral describes it as "partial 16S ribosomal RNA". It matches the Rfam family "Bacterial small subunit ribosomal RNA", at positions 524 to 776 of the family's 1533-position model. The record is from RNAcentral.
UACGUAGGGUCCGAGCGUUUUCCGGAUUUAUUGGGCGUAAAGAGCUCGUAGGCGGCUCGGUAAGUCGGGUGUGAAAACUCGGGGCUCAACCCCGAGACGCCAUCCGAUACUGCCGUGGCUUGAGUCUGGUAGGGGAACACGGAAUUCCUGGUGUAGCGGUGAAAUGCGCAGAUAUCAGGAGGAACACCAAUGGCGAAGGCAGUGUUCUGGGCCAGUACUGACGCUGAGGAGCGAAAGCGUGGGUAGCAAACAGG